GGGGUUGUGGCUCAAAGGUACAGCACACGCCUAGCAUGAGCGAGGCCCUGGGUUCAAUCCUCAGCACCACA
Molecule: transfer RNA, 71 nt
Filed under: Marmota monax (woodchuck)
Lineage: Eukaryota; Metazoa; Chordata; Mammalia; Rodentia; Sciuridae
Description: tRNA.Ala
Source: RNAcentral